UGGCCCAGUAGUUUCAGUGGAAAAUGUUAGUUAAAAUUUACAAAUUUUAUGAAAAUUGUUAAAAAUUGACUAUAAAGGACAAUAACUCCUUUGGGGGUCAAUUGACCAUUUCCAAAUGUUGACUUAUUUGUAAAUCUUACUUUGCUGAACAUUAUUGCUGUUUACAGUUUUUCUAUAUCUAUAAUAAUAUUCAAGAUAAUAACCAAAAACAGCAAAAUUUCCUUAAAAUUACCAAUUCAGGGGCAGCAACCCAACAACGGGUUGUCCGAUUCAUCUGAAAAUUUCAGGGCAGAUAGAUCUUGACCUGUUAAACAAUUUUACUUCAUGUCAGAUUUGCUCUUAAUGCUUUGGUUUUUGAGUUAUAAGCCAAAAACUGCAUUUUACCCCUAUGUUCUAUUUUUAGCUGUGGUGGCCAUCUUGGUUCGAUGGCUGGGUCACCGGACACAUUUUUUAAAGUAGAUACCCAAAAAAUGAUUGUGGCCAAGUUUGGAUUAAUUUGGUCCAGUAGUUUCAGAGGAGAAGAUUUUUGUAAAAGAUAACUAAGAUUUACGAAAAAUGGUUAAAAAUUGACUAUAAAGGGCAAUAACGCCUAAAGGGGUCAACUGACCAUUUCGGUCAUGUUUGACUUAUUUGUAGAUCUUACUUUGCUGAACAUUAUUGCUGUUUACAGUUUAUCUCUAUCUAUAAUAAUAUUCAAGAUAAUAACCAAAAACUGCAAAAUUUCCUUAAAAU
RNAcentral lists this long non-coding RNA (732 nucleotides) under Mytilus galloprovincialis (Mediterranean mussel). The record is from RNAcentral. Lineage: Eukaryota; Metazoa; Mollusca; Bivalvia; Mytilida; Mytilidae.